UGGCGGUGGCUACACAUGCAGUCGAACGGCAGCACAGGAGAGCUUGCUCUCUGGGUGGCGAGUGGCGGACGGGUGAGGAAUACAUCGGAAUCUACUCUGUCGUGGGGGAUAACGUAGGGAAACUUACGCUAAUACCGCAUACGACCUACGGGUGAAAGCAGGGGACCUUCGGGCCUUGCGCGAUUGAAUGAGCCGAUGUCGGAUUAGCUAGUUGGCGGGGUAAAGGCCCACCAAGGCGACGAUCCGUAGCUGGUCUGAGAGGAUGAUCAGCCACACUGGAACUGAGACACGGUCCAGACUCCUACGGGAGGCAGCAGUGGGGAAUAUUGGACAAUGGGCGCAAGCCUGAUCCAGCCAUACCGCGUGGGUGAAGAAGGCCUUCGGGUUGUAAAGCCCUUUUGUUGGGAAAGAAAUCCAGCUGGCUAAUACCCGGUUGGGAUGACGGUACCCAAAGAAUAAGCACCGGCUAACUUCGUGCCAGCAGCCGCGGUAAUACGAAGGGUGCAAGCGUUACUCGGAAUUACUGGGCGUAAAGCGUGCGUAGGUGGUCGUUUAAGUCCGUUGUGAAAGCCCUGGGCUCAACCUGGGAACUGCAGUGGAUACUGGGCGACUAGAAUGUGGUAGAGGGUAGCGGAAUUCCUGGUGUAGCAGUGAAAUGCGUAGAGAUCAGGAGGAACAUCCAUGGCGAAGGCAGCUACCUGGACCAACAUUGACACUGAGGCACGAAAGCGUGGGGAGCAAACAGGAUUAGAUACCCUGGUAGUCCACGCCCUAAACGAUGCGAACUGGAUGUUGGGUGCAAUUUGGCACGCAGUAUCGAAGCUAACGCGUUAAGUUCGCCGCCGGGGGAGUACGGUCGCAAGACUGAAACUCAAAGGAAUUGACGGGGGCCCGCACAAGCGGUGGAGUAUGUGGUUUAAUUCGAUGCAACGCGAAGAACCUUACCUGGCCUUGACAUGUCGAGAACUUUCCAAAGAUGGAUGGGUGCCUUCGGGAACUCGAACACAGGUGCUGCAUGGCUGUCGUCACCUCUUGUCGUGGAAAUGUUGGGGUUAAUUCCCGCAACGAAGGGCAACCCUUUGUCCUUAAUUUGCCAACCCCUUAAUGGUGGGGAACUUUUAAGGAGACCCCCCGGUGACAAACCCGGAAGAAAGGUGGGGGAAUGAAAUUUAAGUUUAUAAAGGGGCCCUUUAAGGGCCAGGGGGUUCCACACGGUUCUACCAAAUGGUUGGGGGACAGAAAGGGCUC
Molecule: ribosomal RNA, 1248 nt
Filed under: Stenotrophomonas sp.
Lineage: Bacteria; Pseudomonadati; Pseudomonadota; Gammaproteobacteria; Lysobacterales; Lysobacteraceae
Description: bacterial SSU rRNA
Rfam family: Bacterial small subunit ribosomal RNA
Source: RNAcentral